GUGAGGAAUUUUGCGCAAUGGGGGCAACCCUGACGCAGCGACGCCGCGUGGAGGACGAAGUCUUUCGGGAUGUAAACUCCUGUCAGUGGGGACGAUAAUGACGGUACCCACAGAGGAAGCACCGGCUAACUCCGUGCCAGCAGCCGCGGUAAGACGGAGGGUGCAAGCGUUGUUCGGAAUUACUGGGCGUAAAGCGUAUGUAGGCGGCAAGUUAAGUUCAAUGUUAAAGCCCACGGCUCAACCGAGAAGAUGCAUUGAAUACUGGCUAGCUAGAGGGUGUUAGAGGAAGACGGAAUUCCCAGUGUAGCGGUGAAAUGCGUAGAUAUUGGGAGGAACAUCGGUAGCGAAAGCGGUCUUCUGGGACAUACCUGACGCUGAGGUACGAAAGCGUGGGGAGCAAACGGGAUUAGAUACCCCAGUAGUCC
Molecule: ribosomal RNA, 425 nt
Filed under: uncultured bacterium
Lineage: Bacteria
Description: partial 16S ribosomal RNA
Rfam family: Bacterial small subunit ribosomal RNA
Source: RNAcentral